RNAcentral lists this ribosomal RNA (842 nucleotides) under Parawiesneriomyces syzygii. Its description in RNAcentral is "eukaryotic LSU rRNA". It matches the Rfam family "Eukaryotic large subunit ribosomal RNA", at positions 65 to 927 of the family's 3401-position model. The record is from RNAcentral. Lineage: Eukaryota; Fungi; Ascomycota; Dothideomycetes; Tubeufiales; Wiesneriomycetaceae.
CCAACAGGGAUUGCCUCAGUAACGGCGAGUGAAGCGGCAACAGCUCAAAUUUGAAAUCUGGCUCUUUCAGGGUCCGAGUUGUAAUUUGCAGAGGAUGCUUCGGCUUCGGCUUGGGUCUAAGUUCCUUGGAACAGGACGUCACAGAGGGUGAGAAUCCCGUAUGUGGCCCUUGCCCCCGCCAUGUGAAGCUCCUUCGACGAGUCGAGUUGUUUGGGAAUGCAGCUCUAAAUGGGAGGUAAAUUUCUUCUAAAGCUAAAUAUUGGCCAGAGACCGAUAGCGCACAAGUAGAGUGAUCGAAAGAUGAAAAGCACUUUGGAAAGAGAGUUAAAAAGUACGUGAAAUUGUUGAAAGGGAAGCGCUUGCAACCAGACUUGCACGCAGUUGCUCAGCCGGUCUUCUGACCGGUGCACUCUUCUGCGUUCAGGCCAGCAUCAGUUCGGGCGGUCGGAUAAAGGCCUUGGGAAUGUGGCUCCCCUCGGGGAGUGUUAUAGCCCUCGGUGCAAUGCGGCCAGCCUGGACUGAGGUCCGCGCUUCGGCUAGGAUGCUGGCGUAAUGGUUGUAAGCGGCCCGUCUUGAAACACGGACCAAGGAGUCUAACAUCUAUGCGAGUGUUUGGGUGUCAAACCCGUGCGCGAAAUGAAAGUGAACGGAGGUGGGAACCUUUUAGGUGCACCAUCGACCGAUCCUGAUGUCUUCGGAUGGAUUUGAGUAUGAGCAUAGCUGUUGGGACCCGAAAGAUGGUGAACUAUGCCUGAAUAGGGUGAAGCCAGAGGAAACUCUGGUGGAGGCUCGCAGCGGUUCUGACGUGCAAAUCGAUCGUCAAAUUUGGGUAUAGGGGCGAA